AUUGAACGCUGGCGGCAGGCCUAACACAUGCAAGUCGAGCGUGAAAGUCCUUCGGGAUGAGUAAAGCGGCGGACGGGUGAGUAACGCGUAGGAAUCUACCUAGUAGUGGGGGAUAACGUUCCGAAAGGAACGCUAAUACCGCAUACGUUCUGAGGAAGAAAGCAGGGGAUCUUCGGACCUUGCGCUAUUAGAUGAGCCUGCGUCCGAUUAGCUAGUUGGUGGGGUAAAGGCCUACCAAGGCGACGAUCGGUAACUGGUCUGAGAGGAUGAUCAGUCACACUGGAACUGAGACACGGUCCAGACUCCUACGGGAGGCAGCAGUGGGGAAUAUUGGACAAUGGGCGCAAGCCUGAUCCAGCCAUGCCGCGUGUGUGAAGAAGGCCUUCGGGUUGUAAAGCUCUGUCGGGAGGGACGAAGGGGAAACCCGUAGACGGUACCUCGCAAGAAAGCACCGGCUAAC
Molecule: ribosomal RNA, 460 nt
Filed under: uncultured bacterium
Lineage: Bacteria
Description: bacterial SSU rRNA
Rfam family: Bacterial small subunit ribosomal RNA
Source: RNAcentral